RNAcentral lists this long non-coding RNA (354 nucleotides) under Acromyrmex echinatior (Panamanian leafcutter ant). RNAcentral describes it as "uncharacterized LOC105149716, transcript variant X1". The record is from RNAcentral. Lineage: Eukaryota; Metazoa; Arthropoda; Insecta; Hymenoptera; Formicidae.
GAGCAGUAUGUCGCAAUCCAAGAAGGAGGGAAGAAUGAGAUAGACGGAAUAGUAGACUACGAAUAAGAGUCCGAUAAUUACGAAUAAAUCCAUACUUAAUUACACUUAUCUACGGCAACAAAAUAACGAGAUAGAAACAUCUUAAUUUCUGAAGAGAAAAAUCAGAAUUAAAUAUGGACAAACUGGAGUCAUUAUUGGAUUUACUGGAUUUUGAGGACUUAGCAAUGAGAGACUGAUAUUACAACUACUCACGAAGUAUAGUCAUCAAUUACAUCACAGGUAGAUAUCAAAUUGGAUCGUGAUGUAAUUCGUAAAAAAGAUAAAUCCCAGACAGAACAAAAUAUUGAUUGUAAA